ACUACGGGCGGCAGCAGUGAGGAAUAUUGGUCAAUGGACGAGAGUCUGAACCAGCCAAGUAGCGUGAAGGAUGACUGCCCUAUGGGUUGUAAACUUCUUUUAUAAAGGAAUAAAACGAGGCACGUGUGCCUUUUUGCAUGUACUUUAUGAAUAAGGAUCGGCUAACUCCGUGCCAGCAGCCGCGGUAAUACGGAGGAUCCGAGCGUUAUCCGGAUUUGGUGGGUUUAAAGGGAGCGUAGAUGGGUUGUUAAGUCAGUUGUGAAAGUUUGCGGCUCAACCGUAAAAUUGCAAUUGCUACUGGCAUUCUUGAGUACAGUUGAGGUAGGCGGAAUGCGUGGUGUAGCGGUGAAAUGCUUAGAUAUCACGAAGAACCCCGAUUGCGAAGGCAGCUUACUAAACUGUGACUGACAUUGAUGCUCGAAAGUGUGGGUAUCAAACAGGAUUAGAUACCCUUGUAGUC
This 460-nucleotide ribosomal RNA is filed under the name uncultured bacterium. RNAcentral describes it as "partial 16S ribosomal RNA". It matches the Rfam family "Bacterial small subunit ribosomal RNA", at positions 338 to 795 of the family's 1533-position model. The record is from RNAcentral.